Molecule: ribosomal RNA, 433 nt
Filed under: uncultured bacterium
Lineage: Bacteria
Description: partial 16S ribosomal RNA
Rfam family: Bacterial small subunit ribosomal RNA
Source: RNAcentral
AACGAACGCUGGCGGCAUGCCUAACACAUGCAAGUCGAACGAGACCUUCGGGUCUAGUGGCGCACGGGUGCGUAACGCGUGGGAACCUGCCCUUAGGUUCGGAAUAACUCCCCGAAAGGGGUGCUAAUACCGGAUAAUGUCUUCGGACCAAAGAUUUAUCGACUUUGGAUGGGCCCGCGUUGGAUUAGCUAGUUGGUAGGGUAAAAGCCUACCAAGGCGAGGAUCCAUAGCUGGUUUGAGAGGAUGAUCAGCCACACUGGGACUGAGACACGGCCCAGAAUCCUACGGGAGGGAGCAGUGGGGAAUAUUGCACAAUGGGCGAAAGCCUGAUCCAGCAAUGCCGCGUGAGUGAUGAAGGCCUGAGGGUUGUAAAGCUCAUUUACCCGGGAUGAUAAUGACAGUACCGGGAGAAUAAGCUCCGGCUAACUCCGUG